This 301-nucleotide unclassified non-coding RNA is filed under the name Rhodotorula sp. RNAcentral describes it as "partial contains 5.8S ribosomal RNA, internal transcribed spacer 2, and large subunit ribosomal RNA". Lineage: Eukaryota; Fungi; Basidiomycota; Microbotryomycetes; Sporidiobolales; Sporidiobolaceae. The record is from RNAcentral.
CGCAUCUUGCGCUCUCUGGUAUUCCGGAGAGCAUGCCUGUUUGAGUGUCAUGAACUCAUCAACCCACCGGUUCCUUGUUGAACCGGCUGGUGUUUGGAUCUUGAGCGUUGCUGGCCCUAGUGGCGAAGCUCGUUCGUAAUACAUUAGCAACUCAAUUUCGUAUUUUCGGAUUGACUCGGCGUAAUAGACUAUUCGCUGAGGACACUUCGGUGGCCGAAUUACGAGGUAGAAGCUUCCAAUUCUUCUAGUCAAACUUUUAAGAUUAGACCUCAAAUCAGGCAGGAUUACCCGCUGAACUUAA